This 370-nucleotide ribosomal RNA is filed under the name uncultured bacterium. RNAcentral describes it as "bacterial SSU rRNA". It matches the Rfam family "Bacterial small subunit ribosomal RNA", at positions 29 to 426 of the family's 1533-position model. The record is from RNAcentral.
AACGAACGCUGGCGGCAGGCCUAACACAUGCAAGUCGAACGCCGUAGCAAUACGGAGUGGCAGACGGGUGCGUAACACGUGGGAACAUACCCUUUGGUUCGGAAUAACUCAGGGAAACUUGAGCUAAUACCGGAUAAGCCCUUACGGGGAAAGAUUUAUCGCCAAAGGAUUGGCCCGCGUCUGAUUAGCUAGUUGGUGAGGUAACGGCUCACCAAGGCGACGAUCAGUAGCUGGUCUGAGAGGAUGAUCAGCCACACUGGGACUGAGACACGGCCCAGACUCCUACGGGAGGCAGCAGUGGGGAAUAUUGGACAAUGGGCGCAAGCCUGAUCCAGCCAUGCCGCGUGAGUGAUGAAGGCCUUAGGGUUGU